GCGAAGGUGGCGGAGUGGUCAAACGUGCUAGGUUGAGGGCCUAGUCCCUUAGUGGGUACGCAGGUUCGAAUCCUGUCCUUCGCA
Molecule: transfer RNA, 84 nt
Filed under: archaeon
Lineage: Archaea
Also listed under: 2 other names
Description: tRNA-Leu
Rfam family: tRNA
About the family: Transfer RNA (tRNA) molecules are approximately 80 nucleotides in length. Their secondary structure includes four short double-helical elements and three loops (D, anti-codon, and T loops). Further hydrogen bonds mediate the characteristic L-shaped molecular structure. tRNAs have two regions of fundamental functional importance: the anti-codon, which is responsible for specific mRNA codon recognition, and the 3' end, to which the tRNAs corresponding amino acid is attached (by aminoacyl-tRNA synthetases). tRNAs cope with the degeneracy of the genetic code in two manners: having more than one tRNA (with a specific anti-codon) for a particular amino acid; and 'wobble' base-pairing, i.e. permitting non-standard base-pairing at the 3rd anti-codon position.
Source: RNAcentral